UUUAGAUUAUUUUAUUUUGCUAAUUAAUUUAUCUUGCAUGCUAUUCUACUUUGCAUAAUAGUGCAUGAAUAAUUCAAUAAGUUAUAGGUAGCAACAGUAGAGAAUAUAAUAGCUAUUGCAUAAUAAAAUUAAAUAAAUAGCUUCAAUAAAAUGAUCAUAAUGUAAUAUUGGAAAGAAAGACAAAAGAAAUGCGAAAAGGAAACAAAUGCGAACAUGAAUUCAAAUAACAUUAGUGAAUAAUCUAACUUAAAACUAAAUAACUAAGAAAAUAAUUUCUAUCCAUCUGCACGAUC
Molecule: long non-coding RNA, 293 nt
Filed under: Lathyrus oleraceus (garden pea)
Lineage: Eukaryota; Viridiplantae; Streptophyta; Magnoliopsida; Fabales; Fabaceae
Description: Pisum sativum (pea) long non-coding RNA (PSAT_LNC003092)
Source: RNAcentral